UUAUAUGCUAAGUGACUUAACAUUCAGCUCCCUAAAUGAAAUUCUGAUUUUUAUUGAGGUUUUUAGCAUUCAUUGUUUUAAUUGAUUUUUUAAAAAUUUUUCUGAAUUUCUAGAUAUACACCUGAAGAAAUUGAGAAGCUCAAGGAGCUCCGGAUAAAGCAUGGCAAUGACUGGGCAACAAUAGGGGCGGCGCUAGGAAGAAGUGCAUCUUCUGUCAAAGAUCGGUGCCGACUGAUGAAGGAUACUUGCAACACAGGGAAGUGGACAGAAGAAGAAGAAAAGAGACUUGCAGAAGUGGUUCAUGAGUUGACAAGCACUGAGCCAGGUGACAUAGUCACACAGGGUGUGUCUUGGGCAGCUGUGGCUGAACGAGUGGGUACCCGCUCAGAAAAGCAAUGUCGUUCUAAAUGGCUCAACUACCUGAAUUGGAAACAGAGUGGGGGUACUGAAUGGACCAAGGAAGAUGAAAUCAAUCUCAUCCUCAGGAUAGCAGAACUUGAUGUAGCUGAUGAAAACGACAUUAACUGGGAUCUGUUAGCUGAGGGAUGGAGUAGUGUCCGUUCACCACAAUGGCUACGAAGUAAAUGGUG
This 590-nucleotide small RNA is filed under the name Pan troglodytes (chimpanzee). Its description in RNAcentral is "retained intron". The record is from RNAcentral. Lineage: Eukaryota; Metazoa; Chordata; Mammalia; Primates; Hominidae.